UAUCUAGUUUAAGAAAAAUGUUAACUUGUCGAGUUAGUGAUACUAUUUGUGAU
RNAcentral lists this transfer RNA (53 nucleotides) under Helix pomatia (Roman snail). Its description in RNAcentral is "tRNA-Asp". Lineage: Eukaryota; Metazoa; Mollusca; Gastropoda; Stylommatophora; Helicidae. The record is from RNAcentral.